UACGAAGGGGGGCUAGCGUUGCUCGGAAUCACUGGGCGUAAAGCGCACGUAGGCGGAUUGCUAAGUCAGGGGUGAAAUCCUGGAGCUCAACUCCAGAACUGCCUUUCAUACUGGCAAGCUAGAGUCCGGAAGAGGUAAGUGGAACUCCUAGUGUAGAGGUGGAAUUCGUAGAUAUUAGGAAGAACACCAGUGGCGAAGGCGGCUUACUGGUCCGGAACUGACGCUGAGGUGCGAAAGCGUGGGGAGCAAACAGG
Molecule: ribosomal RNA, 254 nt
Filed under: uncultured bacterium
Lineage: Bacteria
Description: partial 16S ribosomal RNA
Rfam family: Bacterial small subunit ribosomal RNA
Source: RNAcentral